Molecule: ribosomal RNA, 255 nt
Filed under: uncultured bacterium
Lineage: Bacteria
Description: partial 16S ribosomal RNA
Rfam family: Bacterial small subunit ribosomal RNA
Source: RNAcentral
UACGUAGGGUGCGAGCGUUGUCCGGAAUUAUUGGGCGUAAAGAGCUCGUAGGCGGUGUGUCACGUCGGCCGUGAAAAACCUGCAGCUUAACUGUGGGCGUGCGGUCGAUACGGGCAUCACUGGAGUUCGGCAGGGGAGACUGGAAUUCCUGGUGUAGCGGUGAAAUGCGCAGAUAUCAGGAGGAACACCGGUGGCGAAGGCGGGUCUCUGGGCCGAUACUGACGCUGAGGAGCGAAAGCGUGGGGAGCAAACAAG